Molecule: ribosomal RNA, 1139 nt
Filed under: Staphylococcus aureus
Lineage: Bacteria; Bacillati; Bacillota; Bacilli; Caryophanales; Staphylococcaceae
Description: bacterial LSU rRNA
Rfam family: Bacterial large subunit ribosomal RNA
Source: RNAcentral
GAAAGACGGGUGAGAAUCCCGUCCACCGAUUGACUAAGGUUUCCAGAGGAAGGCUCGUCCGCUCUGGGUUAGUCGGGUCCUAAGCUGAGGCCGACAGGCGUAGGCGAUGGAUAACAGGUUGAUAUUCCUGUACCACCUAUAAUCGUUUUAAUCGAUGGGGGGACGCAGUAGGAUAGGCGAAGCGUGCGAUUGGAUUGCACGUCUAAGCAGUAAGGCUGAGUAUUAGGCAAAUCCGGUACUCGUUAAGGCUGAGCUGUGAUGGGGAGAAGACAUUGUGUCUUCGAGUCGUUGAUUUCACACUGCCGAGAAAAGCCUCUAGAUAGAAAAUAGGUGCCCGUACCGCAAACCGACACAGGUAGUCAAGAUGAGAAUUCUAAGGUGAGCGAGCGAACUCUCGUUAAGGAACUCGGCAAAAUGACCCCGUAACUUCGGGAGAAGGGGUGCUCUUUAGGGUUAACGCCCAGAAGAGCCGCAGUGAAUAGGCCCAAGCGACUGUUUAUCAAAAACACAGGUCUCUGCUAAACCGUAAGGUGAUGUAUAGGGGCUGACGCCUGCCCGGUGCUGGAAGGUUAAGAGGAGUGGUUAGCUUCUGCGAAGCUACGAAUCGAAGCCCCAGUAAACGGCGGCCGUAACUAUAACGGUCCUAAGGUAGCGAAAUUCCUUGUCGGGUAAGUUCCGACCCGCACGAAAGGCGUAACGAUUUGGGCACUGUCUCAACGAGAGACUCGGUGAAAUCAUAGUACCUGUGAAGAUGCAGGUUACCCGCGACAGGACGGAAAGACCCCGUGGAGCUUUACUGUAGCCUGAUAUUGAAAUUCGGCACAGCUUGUACAGGAUAGGUAGGAGCCUUUGAAACGUGAGCGCUAGCUUACGUGGAGGCGCUGGUGGGAUACUACCCUAGCUGUGUUGGCUUUCUAACCCGCACCACUUAUCGUGGUGGGAGACAGUGUCAGGCGGGCAGUUUGACUGGGGCGGUCGCCUCCUAAAAGGUAACGGAGGCGCUCAAAGGUUUCCUCAGAAUGGUUGGAAAUCAUUCAUAGAGUGUAAAGGCAUAAGGGAGCUUGACUGCGAGACCUACAAGUCGAGCAGGGUCGAAAGACGGACUUAGUGAUCCGGUGGUUCCGCAUGGAAGGGCCAUC